Molecule: ribosomal RNA, 2921 nt
Filed under: Staphylococcus aureus M1216
Lineage: Bacteria; Bacillati; Bacillota; Bacilli; Caryophanales; Staphylococcaceae
Description: bacterial LSU rRNA
Rfam family: Bacterial large subunit ribosomal RNA
Source: RNAcentral
UUAAGUUAUUAAGGGCGCACGGUGGAUGCCUUGGCACUAGAAGCCGAUGAAGGACGUUACUAACGACGAUAUGCUUUGGGGAGCUGUAAGUAAGCUUUGAUCCAGAGAUUUCCGAAUGGGGAAACCCAGCAUGAGUUAUGUCAUGUUAUCGAUAUGUGAAUACAUAGCAUAUCAGAAGGCACACCCGGAGAACUGAAACAUCUUAGUACCCGGAGGAAGAGAAAGAAAAUUCGAUUCCCUUAGUAGCGGCGAGCGAAACGGGAAGAGCCCAAACCAACAAGCUUGCUUGUUGGGGUUGUAGGACACUCUAUACGGAGUUACAAAGGACGACAUUAGACGAAUCAUCUGGAAAGAUGAAUCAAAGAAGGUAAUAAUCCUGUAGUCGAAAAUGUUGUCUCUCUUGAGUGGAUCCUGAGUACGACGGAGCACGUGAAAUUCCGUCGGAAUCUGGGAGGACCAUCUCCUAAGGCUAAAUACUCUCUAGUGACCGAUAGUGAACCAGUACCGUGAGGGAAAGGUGAAAAGCACCCCGGAAGGGGAGUGAAAUAGAACCUGAAACCGUGUGCUUACAAGUAGUCAGAGCCCGUUAAUGGGUGAUGGCGUGCCUUUUGUAGAAUGAACCGGCGAGUUACGAUUUGAUGCAAGGUUAAGCAGUAAAUGUGGAGCCGUAGCGAAAGCGAGUCUGAAUAGGGCGUUUAGUAUUUGGUCGUAGACCCGAAACCAGGUGAUCUACCCUUGGUCAGGUUGAAGUUCAGGUAACACUGAAUGGAGGACCGAACCGACUUACGUUGAAAAGUGAGCGGAUGAACUGAGGGUAGCGGAGAAAUUCCAAUCGAACCUGGAGAUAGCUGGUUCUCUCCGAAAUAGCUUUAGGGCUAGCCUCAAGUGAUGAUUAUUGGAGGUAGAGCACUGUUUGGACGAGGGGCCCCUCUCGGGUUACCGAAUUCAGACAAACUCCGAAUGCCAAUUAAUUUAACUUGGGAGUCAGAACAUGGGUGAUAAGGUCCGUGUUCGAAAGGGAAACAGCCCAGACCACCAGCUAAGGUCCCAAAAUAUAUGUUAAGUGGAAAAGGAUGUGGCGUUGCCCAGACAACUAGGAUGUUGGCUUAGAAGCAGCCAUCAUUUAAAGAGUGCGUAAUAGCUCACUAGUCGAGUGACACUGCGCCGAAAAUGUACCGGGACUAAACAUAUUACCGAAGCUGUGGAUUGUCCUUUGGACAAUGGUAGGAGAGCGUUCUAAGGGCGUUGAAGCAUGAUCGUAAGGACAUGUGGAGCGCUUAGAAGUGAGAAUGCCGGUGUGAGUAGCGAAAGACGGGUGAGAAUCCCGUCCACCGAUUGACUAAGGUUUCCAGAGGAAGGCUCGUCCGCUCUGGGUUAGUCGGGUCCUAAGCUGAGGCCGACAGGCGUAGGCGAUGGAUAACAGGUUGAUAUUCCUGUACCACCUAUAAUCGUUUUAAUCGAUGGGGGGACGCAGUAGGAUAUGCGAAGCGUGCGAUUGGAUUGCACGUCUAAGCAGUAAGGCUGAGUAUUAGGCAAAUCCGGUACUCGUUAAGGCUGAGCUGUGAUGGGGAGAAGACAUUGUGUCUUCGAGUCGUUGAUUUCACACUGCCGAGAAAAGCCUCUAGAUAGAAAAUAGGUGCCCGUACCGCAAACCGACACAGGUAGUCAAGAUGAGAAUUCUAAGGUGAGCGAGCGAACUCUCGUUAAGGAACUCGGCAAAAUGACCCCGUAACUUCGGGAGAAGGGGUGCUCUUUAGGGUUAACGCCCAGAAGAGCCGCAGUGAAUAGGCCCAAGCGACUGUUUAUCAAAAACACAGGUCUCUGCUAAACCGUAAGGUGAUGUAUAGGGGCUGACGCCUGCCCGGUGCUGGAAGGUUAAGAGGAGUGGUUAGCUUCUGCGAAGCUACGAAUCGAAGCCCCAGUAAACGGCGGCCGUAACUAUAACGGUCCUAAGGUAGCGAAAUUCCUUGUCGGGUAAGUUCCGACCCGCACGAAAGGCGUAACGAUUUGGGCACUGUCUCAACGAGAGACUCGGUGAAAUCAUAGUACCUGUGAAGAUGCAGGUUACCCGCGACAGGACGGAAAGACCCCGUGGAGCUUUACUGUAGCCUGAUAUUGAAAUUCGGCACAGCUUGUACAGGAUAGGUAGGAGCCUUUGAAACGUGAGCGCUAGCUUACGUGGAGGCGCUGGUGGGAUACUACCCUAGCUGUGUUGGCUUUCUAACCCGCACCACUUAUCGUGGUGGGAGACAGUGUCAGGCGGGCAGUUUGACUGGGGCGGUCGCCUCCUAAAAGGUAACGGAGGCGCUCAAAGGUUCCCUCAGAAUGGUUGGAAAUCAUUCAUAGAGUGUAAAGGCAUAAGGGAGCUUGACUGCGAGACCUACAAGUCGAGCAGGGUCGAAAGACGGACUUAGUGAUCCGGUGGUUCCGCAUGGAAGGGCCAUCGCUCAACGGAUAAAAGCUACCCCGGGGAUAACAGGCUUAUCUCCCCCAAGAGUUCACAUCGACGGGGAGGUUUGGCACCUCGAUGUCGGCUCAUCGCAUCCUGGGGCUGUAGUCGGUCCCAAGGGUUGGGCUGUUCGCCCAUUAAAGCGGUACGCGAGCUGGGUUCAGAACGUCGUGAGACAGUUCGGUCCCUAUCCGUCGUGGGCGUAGGAAAUUUGAGAGGAGCUGUCCUUAGUACGAGAGGACCGGGAUGGACAUACCUCUGGUGUACCAGUUGUCGUGCCAACGGCAUAGCUGGGUAGCUAUGUGUGGACGGGAUAAGUGCUGAAAGCAUCUAAGCAUGAAGCCCCCCUCAAGAUGAGAUUUCCCAACUUCGGUUAUAAGAUCCCUCAAAGAUGAUGAGGUUAAUAGGUUCGAGGUGGAAGCAUGGUGACAUGUGGAGCUGACGAAUACUAAUCGAUCGAAGACUUAAUCAA